UACAGAGGGUGCGAGCGUUAAUCGGAAUUACUGGGCGUAAAGCGUGCGUAGGUGGUUAUAUAAGUUAGGUGUGAAAUUCCUGGGCUUAACCUGGGAACUGCGCCUAAUACUGUAUAGCUAGAGUAUUGUAGAGGAAAGUGGAAUUUCCGGUGUAGCGGUGAAAUGCGCAGAUAUCAGGAGGAACACCGGUGGCGAAGGCGGUUCUCUGGGCAUGACCUGACGCUGAGGAGCGAAAGUGUGGGGAGCGAACAGG
RNAcentral lists this ribosomal RNA (253 nucleotides) under uncultured bacterium. RNAcentral describes it as "partial 16S ribosomal RNA". It matches the Rfam family "Bacterial small subunit ribosomal RNA", at positions 524 to 776 of the family's 1533-position model. The record is from RNAcentral.